RNAcentral lists this ribosomal RNA (465 nucleotides) under Vreelandella stevensii. Its description in RNAcentral is "partial 16S ribosomal RNA". It matches the Rfam family "Bacterial small subunit ribosomal RNA", at positions 338 to 795 of the family's 1533-position model. Lineage: Bacteria; Pseudomonadati; Pseudomonadota; Gammaproteobacteria; Oceanospirillales; Halomonadaceae. The record is from RNAcentral.
CCUACGGGUGGCUGCAGUGGGGAAUAUUGGACAAUGGGCGAAAGCCUGAUCCAGCCAUGCCGCGUGUAUGAAGAAGGCCUUCGGGUUGUAAAGCACUUUCAGUGGGGAAGAAAGCCUUGGGGCUAAUACCCUCGAGGAAGGACAUCACCCACAGAAGAAGCACCGGCUAACUCCGUGCCAGCAGCCGCGGUAAUACGGAGGGUGCGAGCGUUAAUCGGAAUUACUGGGCGUAAAGCGCGCGUAGGCGGUCUGAUAAGCCGGUUGUGAAAGCCCCGGGCUCAACCUGGGAACGGCAUCCGGAACUGUCAGGCUAGAGUGCAGGAGAGGAAGGUAGAAUUCCCGGUGUAGCGGUGAAAUGCGUAGAGAUCGGGAGGAAUACCAGUGGCGAAGGCGGCCUUCUGGACUGACACUGACGCUGAGGUGCGAAAGCGUGGGUAGCAAACAGGAUUAGAUACCCGGGUAGUC